ACUAAGCAUAUCAAUAAGCGGAGGAAAAAGAAACCAACAGGGAUUGCCUAGUACGGCGAGUGAAGCGGCAACAGCUCAAUUUGAAAUCUGGCCUCGGCCCGAGUUGUAAUUUGCAGAGGAUGAUUUUGGCGCGGUGCCUUCCGAGUUCCCUGGAACGGGACGCCACAGAGGGUGAGAGCCCCGUAUGGUCGGACACCAAGCCUUUGUAAAUCUCCUUCGACGAGUCGAGUAGUUUGGGAAUGCUGCUCAAAAUGGGAGGUAAAUCUCUUCUAAAGCUAAAUAUUGGCCAGAGACCGAUAGCGCACAAGUAGAGUGAUCGAAAGAUGAAAAGCACCUUGAAAAGGGGGUUAAACAGUACGUGAAAUUGUUGAAAGGGAAGGGCUCGUGACCAGACUUGUGCCAGGCGGCUCAUCCGGCGUUCUCGCCGGUGCACUCCGCCUGGCUCAGGCCAGCAUCGGUUCUUGCCGGGGGAUAAGAGCUUCGGGAACGUGGCCCCCUUCGGGGGGUGUUAUAGCCCGUUGCACGAUGCCCUGGCGGGGACCGAGGUUCGCGCUCCGCAAGGAUGCUGGCGUAAUGGUCACCAACCACCCGUCUUGAAACACGGACCAAGGAGUCGUCCAUCAGAGCGAGCGUUUGGGUGUAAAACCCGCACGCGUAAUGAAAGUGAACGCAGGUGAGAGCUUCGGCGCAUCAUCGACCGAUCCUGAUGUAUUCGGAUGGAUUUGAGUAAGAGUUUUGCUGGACGGACCCGAAAGACAGUGAACUAUGCUUGUAUAGGGUGAAGCCAGAGGAAACUCUGGUGGAGGCUCGCAGCGGUUCUGACGUGCAAAUCGAUCGUCAAAUAUGAGCAUGGGGGCGAAAGACUAAUCGAACUGUCUAGUAGCUGGUUACCGCCGAAGUUUCCCUCAGGAA
RNAcentral lists this ribosomal RNA (912 nucleotides) under Paragnomonia fragariae. RNAcentral describes it as "partial 28S ribosomal RNA". It matches the Rfam family "Eukaryotic large subunit ribosomal RNA", at positions 33 to 979 of the family's 3401-position model. Lineage: Eukaryota; Fungi; Ascomycota; Sordariomycetes; Diaporthales; Sydowiellaceae. The record is from RNAcentral.